CUACGGGUUGCUGCAGUGGGGAAUAUUGGACAAUGGGGGAAACCCUGAUGCAGCAACGCCGCGUGGAGGAUGACGCAUUUCGGUGUGUAAACUCCUUUUAUAUAGGAAGAUAAUGACGGUACUAUAUGAAUAAGCACCGGCUAACUCCGUGCCAGCAGCCGCGGUAAUACGGAGGGUGCAAGCGUUACUCGGAAUCACUGGGCGUAAAGCGCGCGCAGGCGGCCUUUUAAGUUGGAUGUGAAAGCCUAUGGCUUAACCAUAGAACUGCAUCCAAAACUAUCAGGCUAGAGUCUGGGAGGGGAAGAUGGAAUUAGUUGUGUAGGGGUAAAAUCCGUAGAGAUAACUAGGAAUACCAAAAGCGAAGGCGAUCUUCUGGAACAGUACUGACGCUGAGGCGCGAAAGCGUGGGGAGCAAACAGGAUUAGAUACCCUAGUAGUC
RNAcentral lists this ribosomal RNA (439 nucleotides) under uncultured bacterium. RNAcentral's name for it is "partial 16S ribosomal RNA". It matches the Rfam family "Bacterial small subunit ribosomal RNA", at positions 339 to 795 of the family's 1533-position model. The record is from RNAcentral.